This 800-nucleotide ribosomal RNA is filed under the name Serratia sp. (in: enterobacteria). Its description in RNAcentral is "bacterial SSU rRNA". It matches the Rfam family "Bacterial small subunit ribosomal RNA", at positions 346 to 1139 of the family's 1533-position model. The record is from RNAcentral. Lineage: Bacteria; Pseudomonadati; Pseudomonadota; Gammaproteobacteria; Enterobacterales; Yersiniaceae.
AGGUAGCAGUGGGGAACAUUGUACAAUGGGCGCAAGCCUGAUGCAGCCAUGCCGCGUGUGUGAAGAAGACCCUCGGGUUGUAAAGCACUUUUAGCGAGGAGGAAGGUGGCGAGCUUAAUACGCUCAUCAAUUGACGUUACCCGCAGAAGAAGCAUCGGCUAACUCUGUGUCAUCAGCCGCGGUAAUACGGAGGGUGCAAGCGUUAAUCGGAAUUACUGGGCGUAAAGCGCACGCAGGUGGCUUGCCAAGUCAGAUGUGAAAUUCCCGGGCUCAACCCGGGAAUUGCACUCGAAACUGGCAAGCCAGAGCCUCGUAGAGGGGGGUAGAAUUCCAGGUGUAGCGGUGAAAUGCGCAGAGACCCGGAGGAAUACCGGUGGCGAAGGCGGCCCCCUGGACGAAGAUUGAUGUUCAGGUGCGAAAGCGUGGGGAGCAAAUAGGAUUAGAUACCUUGGUAGUCCACGCUGUAAAUGAUGUCGACCCGGAGGUUGUGCCCUUGAGGCGCGGCUUCCGGAGCCAACGCGCUAAAUCGACCGCUUGGGGAGUACGGCCGCAAGGUUAAAACUCAAAUGAAUUGACGGGGGCCCGCACAAGCGGUGGAGCAUGUGGUCCACUCCGACGCAACGCGAAGAACCUCACCUACUUUUGACAUCCAGAGAACUCCCCAGAGACGGACUGGUGCCUUCGGGAACUCUGAGACAGGUGCUGCAUGGAUGUCGUCAGCUUUUGUUGUGAAAUGUUGGGUUAAGUUCCGCAACGAGUGCAACCCUUAUCCCCCGCCGCCAGCGGUUCGGCCGGGAAUU